UAGGAACAGCUCCCGCGACCUCUGGGCCACGAGGACACGGGACCCCGCUUGAGUCAAAGGCGCAGACAACAGACAUGAGCAUUGGCUGAGCAGUUUCUCUGUGUGCCCAUUACACACGUCAGCAGCCUGAAUGCUCUCGGCAGCCUGAACGCUCUCAACAGCCAUCAGAGCUCCUUGCCUUUGAGGACUGGUUUCCUGCUUGACCGUGAGAGCUGCCACCACUGUGAAUCAGGCGCACCUACGUUCUUUCUCCGUGGGACUGGCUUCUGGGUAUUUGGCCAUACGAUCUGCUGGGAAAGGGGAGGAUCCAGUCCCUCCUGGUCCGAAUGAGCCAGACACCAACAUGGAGAAAGUGACAGGCCGGCUCCAGGCAUAAUCCCCACCUGCAGCAUUUCCAGCCCCAAAUCCUCUUCUUGCCUCAGUUAUCACCUCACUCGGUACC
RNAcentral lists this long non-coding RNA (442 nucleotides) under Canis lupus familiaris (dog). RNAcentral describes it as "lncRNA (ENSCAFG00000058172.1, ENSCAFG00845013686.1)". Lineage: Eukaryota; Metazoa; Chordata; Mammalia; Carnivora; Canidae. The record is from RNAcentral.